AAACAUCUAAGUAGGGCGAGGAAAAGACAUCAACAGAGAUUCCGUCAGUAGUGGCGAGCGAACGCGGAAGAGGCCAAACCGGAGGAUUUAUUCUCCGGGGUUGCGGACGAUCAUCACGGCAGGAAAGUUUAGCCGAACGGUCUGGGAAGGCCGGUCACAGAGGGUGAGAACCCCGUAGGCGAAAAACGAAUUCUGUCAGAUCGGAUCCAGAGUACCGCGGGACACGUGAAACCCCGUGGGAAACAGGGGGGACCACCCUCCAAGCCUAAAUACUACCUGAUGACCGAUAGAGGAGCAGUACCGUGAGGGAAAGGUGAAAAGGACCCCGGGAGGGGAGUGAAAGAGAACCUGAAACCUUGUGCUUACAAGCACUCAAAGCACGUUAAAGUGUGAUGAGGUACUUUUUGUAGAACGGUCCGGCGAGUUAUAGUAACGAGCAAGCUUAAGGUAUUCAGUACCGGAGGCGCAGCGAGAGCGAGUCUGAAUAGGGCGUAUGAAGUUCGUUGCCAUAGACCCGAAACCGGGUGACCUACCCAUGAGCAGGUUGAAGUGGGGGUGAAACCCCAUGGAGGACCGAACCGACCCCCGUUGCAAUGGUGGCGGAUGACUUGUGGGUAGCGGUGAAAUUCCAAUCGAACUCGGAGAUAGCUGGUUCUCCCCGAAAUAGCUUUAGGGCUAGCGUUAUGUUAGAUUACCGGAGGUAAAGCACUGAAUGGUAGCGGGGCCGAUAAGGUUACCAACGCCUAUCAAACUAAGAAUGCCGGCUAAUUGAUGCAUAGCAGUCAGACAGUGUGAGAUAAGUUUCAUUGUCAAAAGGGAAACAGCCCAGACCUACAGCUAAGGUCCCAAAUGUAUGCUAAGUGGAAAACGAUGUGGAAUUGCGAAAACAACCAGGAUGUUGGCUUAGAAGCAGCCACUCAUUAAAAGAGUGCGUAAUAGCUCACUGGUCGAGUGACUCUGCGCGGAAAAUGUAACGGGGCUAAGCAUCCAACCGAAGCUUAGGAUUGUCGUAAGACAGUGGUAGGGGAGCGUUCCAUGUGGGGUGAAGUCGCAGCGGAAGCAGCGGUGGACUGUAUUCGAGUGAGAAUGCCGGAAUGAGUAGCGAGAAUUAUGUGGGAAUCAUAAUGGCCGAAAAUCUAAGGUUUCUUGGGGAAGGUUCGUCCGCCCAAGGUAAGCCGGGAGCUAAGGCGAGGCCGAAAGGCGUAGUCGAUGCACAUACGGUAGAAAUUCCGUAGCCACCGAACCUUAAACCGGAAGGACACUUUCAGAUAGCAGAACCCAGCCGUUGGUAGAGCUGGGCGAAAGGGACUGAAAUAUAGUAGGGAAGUCUGCGAUGCUGAGAGGCGAGAAAAGCUCCGGUGUAUGCUAAGGUGCCCGUACCGCAAACCGACACAGGUAGAUGAGGAGAGAAUCCUAAGGCCAACGGGAGAAGGGUUGUUAAGGAACUCGGCAAAUUGACCCCGUAACUUCGGAAGAAGGGGAGCCCCGAAAGGGGCCGCAGUGAAUAGGCCCAAGCAACUGUUUACCAAAAACACAGGUUUAUGCUAAAUCGAAAGAUGACGUAUAUGAGCUGACGCCUGCCCGGUGCCGGAAGGUUAAGAGGAGAUGUCAACCUUAAGGUGAAGCAUUGAAUUGAAGCCCCGGUAAACGGCGGCCGUAACUAUAACGGUCCUAAGGUAGCGAAAUUCCUUGUCAGGUAAGUUCUGACCCGCACGAAUGGCGUAAUGAUUUGGGCACUGUCUCAACAGCCCGCCCGGCGAAAUUGUAGUACUGGUGAAGAUGCCAGUUACCCGCAACUAGACGGAAAGACCCCAUGGAGCUUUACUGCAGUUUAAUACUGGGAAUCGGUAAUGCAUGUACAGGAUAGGUGGGAGACUAGGAAGCAUAGUCGUCAGGCUAUGUGGAGUCACCGGUGGGAUACCACUCUUGUAUUGCUGGUUUCCUAACCUGCGGCCGUGAAUCCGGUCGGGGGACACUGUUAGACGGGCAGUUUGACUGGGGCGGUCGCCUCCAAAAGAGUAACGGAGGCGCUCAAAGGUUCGUUCAGCACGGACGGAAAUCGUGCAUUGAGUGUAAACGCAUAAACGAGCCUAACUGCGAGACCGACGGGUCGAGCAGUAACGAAAGUUGGAGUUAGUGAUCCGGUGGUAUGUGAGUGG
This 2159-nucleotide ribosomal RNA is filed under the name human gut metagenome. RNAcentral describes it as "bacterial LSU rRNA". It matches the Rfam family "Bacterial large subunit ribosomal RNA", at positions 196 to 2436 of the family's 2925-position model. The record is from RNAcentral.